AGCGAACGCUGGCGGCAGGCUUAACACAUGCAAGUCGAACGGGCAUCUUCGGAUGUCAGUGGCAGACGGGUGAGUAACACGUGGGAACGUACCCUUCGGUUCGGAAUAACUCAGGGAAACUUGAGCUAAUACCGGAUACGCCCUUUUGGGGAAAGGUUUACUGCCGAAGGAUCGGCCCGCGUCUGAUUAGCUUGUUGGUGGGGUAACGGCCUACCAAGGCGACGAUCAGUAGCUGGUCUGAGAGGAUGAUCAGCCACACUGGGACUGAGACACGGCCCAGACUCCUACGGGAGGCAGCAGUGGGGAAUAUUGGACAAUGGGCGCAAGCCUGAUCCAGCCAUGCCGCGUGAGUGAUGAAGGCCUUAGGGUUGUAAAGCUCUUUUGUCCGGGACGAUAAUGACGGUACCGGAAGAAUAAGCCCCGGCUAACUUCGUGC
This 436-nucleotide ribosomal RNA is filed under the name uncultured bacterium. Its description in RNAcentral is "partial 16S ribosomal RNA". It matches the Rfam family "Bacterial small subunit ribosomal RNA", at positions 29 to 508 of the family's 1533-position model. The record is from RNAcentral.